AGCGAACGCUGGCGGCAGGCUUAACACAUGCAAGUCGAACGGGCGCAGCAAUGCGUCAGUGGCAGACGGGUGAGGAACACGUGGGAAUAUGCCCUUUGGUUCGGAAUAACUCAGGGAAACUUGAGCUAAUACCGGAUAAGCGCGAGAGCGGAAAGAUUUAUCGCCGAAGGAGUAGCCCGCGUCUGAUUAGCUAGUUGGUG
This 200-nucleotide ribosomal RNA is filed under the name uncultured bacterium. RNAcentral's name for it is "partial 16S ribosomal RNA". It matches the Rfam family "Bacterial small subunit ribosomal RNA", at positions 29 to 254 of the family's 1533-position model. The record is from RNAcentral.